CAAAUUUUGGUCCAAAAAUGGCGAGCACAGCAAAGUCCAGGGCCGCAGUCGGAGGUUCUGAGACAGCUUUCUCCCUCCUGUCCUGUAACAAGGUAGGCUCAGGCUCUAGAGGUGGCAGAUGGGUUAAGGGUGUGUGUGUGUGUGUGUGUGUGUGUGUGUGUGUGUGUGUGUUAUACUAAUGGGUUGAGAUUGGGAUCUAGGAAUGAAGGCCUAUAUAGCCUAUAUAUAAACUAGCAAAGCCAACAGGACACAGGUCUCACAGAAUAAGGGAAAUUAGAGCCCUACUGAACAAAGACAUCAAGGAAUGAUUAUCUACCCUGAGAAAUAGGUAGCACUCCACAAAGUUUGCUAAUACAGUUUUUCGUGAGCAUCGAUUCCUUUACUUAUAAAGGGGCCAGCUAGUCCAAUAUGUGAGUAGGAGCGGCUGUUGUACCUCUCCACUUUCAAAUACUCUGUUAUUCAAGACUUUAACUCGAGACUCCUAUUUUGUUUAAAAGAAUUUUUGUAAAUCCCCAAGUGUGGUGGCAGACACCUUUAAUCCCAGCAGAAGCCGUCGGGUCUCUGAGUUCCUGAACAGUCUGGUCUACACAGUGAGUUCUAGGAUAGCAGAGCUACAGACCCUUUUGUACUAUGUACAAGUCUGGAGUGAAUGCAUCUUCUUUAAUCCACUCUGUAUGCUGAGGCUAUAGGAAAGGUACGUGGCACUUGGUACACCCCAGCUUAGGGAAAGCCAUCGGUUGGAGGGUUUCCUUCCUAAGCUGUCAUCACUAGGGUCUUGCCCUGGCCUGGCCAAUAGAGUCCCUUGAAUUGCUCCAAGAGCUCACAGACAUGAGGUAAAGGAGUUUAGCUUCAGCCUGUGGGGCUGGGAGGGAGAAAAUGGUUUUUAAAAUAAAAUAUGCUCUCCUUAUGAUGUUCUUACCCUUA
This 924-nucleotide long non-coding RNA is filed under the name Rattus norvegicus (Norway rat). RNAcentral describes it as "long non-coding RNA NONRATT011634". Lineage: Eukaryota; Metazoa; Chordata; Mammalia; Rodentia; Muridae. The record is from RNAcentral.